Molecule: ribosomal RNA, 777 nt
Filed under: uncultured bacterium
Lineage: Bacteria
Description: bacterial SSU rRNA
Rfam family: Bacterial small subunit ribosomal RNA
Source: RNAcentral
AACAGGAUUAGAUACCCUGGUAGUCCACGCCGUAAACGAUGAUAACUAGCUGUCGGGGCUCUUAGAGCUUCGGUGGCGCAGCUAACGCAUUAAGUUAUCCGCCUGGGGAGUACGGCCGCAAGGUUAAAACUCAAAUGAAUUGACGGGGGCCUGCACAAGCGGUGGAGCAUGUGGUUUAAUUCGAAGCAACGCGCAAAACCUUACCAGCGUUUGACAUGUCCGGACGAUUUCGGGAGACCGAUCUCUUCCCUUCGGGGACUGGAACACAGGUGCUGCAUGGCUGUCGUCAGCUCGUGUCGUGAGACGUUGGGUCAAGUCCCGCAACGAGCGCAACCCUCGUCCUUAGUUGCCAUCAUUUAGUUGGGCACUCUAAGGAAACCGCCGGUGAUAAGCCGGAGGAAGGUGGGGAUGACGUCAAGUCCUCAUGGCCCUUACGCGCUGGGCUACACACGUGCUACAAUGGCGGUGACAGUGGGCAGCAAUCUCGCAAGGGUGAGCUAAUCUCCAAAAGCCGUCUCAGUUCGGAUUGUUCUCUGCAACUCGAGAGCAUGAAGGCGGAAUCGCUAGUAAUCGCGGAUCAGCAUGCCGCGGUGAAUACGUUCCCAGGCCUUGUACACACCGCCCGCCACACCCUGGGAAUUGGUUUCGCCCGAAGCAUCGGACCAAUGAUCACCCAUGACUUCUGUGUCACACUAGUGCCACAAAGGCUUUUGGUGGGCUUAUUGGCGCAUACCACGGUGGGGUCUUCGACUGGGGUGAAGUCGUAACAAGGUAACC